UACGUAGGGGGCAAGCGUUGUCCGGAUUUAUUGGGCGUAAAGAGCUCGUAGGCGGCUAUUCGCGUCGGGUGUUAAAGCUCAGGGCUCAACUCUGAGAGGUCAUUCGAUACGGGAUAGCUAGAGGCAGGUAGGGGAGAUUGGAAUUCCUGGUGUAGCGGUGAAAUGCGCAGAUAUCAGGAGGAACACCGGUGGCGAAGGCGGCUUCUUGGGCCGUGUCCUGACGCUGAGGCGCGAAAGCCAGGGGAGCGAACGGGAUUAGAAACCCCGGUAGU
RNAcentral lists this ribosomal RNA (272 nucleotides) under uncultured bacterium. RNAcentral describes it as "partial 16S ribosomal RNA". It matches the Rfam family "Bacterial small subunit ribosomal RNA", at positions 524 to 794 of the family's 1533-position model. The record is from RNAcentral.